Cryomorphaceae bacterium is the source of this 28-nucleotide non-coding RNA. The record is from Rfam. NCBI's taxonomy places the organism in Bacteria, Pseudomonadati, Bacteroidota, Flavobacteriia, Flavobacteriales, Cryomorphaceae.
UAACCUCUGGCCAAAGUGGCGCAUGUUG